UUUUAUAGUUAAAAAGGAUAUAUAUACAUAGAAUACACACCACGCAUGUACACAUAUGAAUUUUGAAGUAUUAAUGUGUGUUGCAUAAUAUUUCAAUUUUGUUGAAUUUCAUCGCAUAAUUUUAGCAAAUGAAGGUGAGAAAGGGGGAAGAAUGCAUAAAAAGAGAUAUUUUACAUAUCUUUUAGAUCUAUUUUGCGCUCUCAUGUUGCUCGGGAAGAGGAUAAACUAGGGGAGACUCAGCAGAGCGUGUUAUCUAUACCAAGGACGUUAUUUUUAUUGCGGUUGCGUGAAUGAGAGCGAUAAAGAGGUGUUCGUCGUUUUUUUUUCCAUCGAGGUAUUUUCCAAAGUUUAAACGGUCGCAGCGUGGGGAGUAUGAAAUAUAUAAAGACGACACCUGUCACGGUCAAGUCUUCUUGCGAUCUCGCGACGCAGAAUUAUCGCGUAAAGGUGCUUUUAUAUUUUCUCUCGUAAACGAGAAAUCAAGAAUAAUCUCGAUAUGAUAAUUCUGAAUCGAUCUUCGUGGAAACAAUUUUGGAACAACAGUUCGUUUGUUCCAAAGCUUUCAUUAAGAUACAGACAGAACAUCGCCCAACAUUGAUUAUUCGAAGAAAAUAUUCUACAUGUAGAACGUAAAGGAUAUUAAUUCGGCGUGUCCCAUUAUGUUUGAAGCUAGUAUCUUUGAAAGAGUGUUUUCGAGGCCAAUGUAUGGUUAAAUAUUUGAAUAUUAUGAUUAUUAUGGUUAAAAAACAGUCAAUUAUUUUUCUGUCGAUUUAUUAUUCUAAUCUUUUCAUCUUUCAACUUUAUCUGUUAAACUUUAUGUAUCAAACUUUAUGUUUGUUUUAUGAUUUACCAUUUACCAAACGGCAUUCAUCAUUUAAACAGAAGAAUUUGUUUUAUAUGAUACUGAUUGAGUAAUACUGAUUUUGUAAAAUAUGAGUUAAUAUAAGUUAAACUCUAGAAAACAAGUCUUAAAAUCCCAAUGUAAAGACACGAGUUAGAUAAAGCUGUAUGUAACAUAA
Molecule: long non-coding RNA, 1019 nt
Filed under: Pogonomyrmex barbatus (red harvester ant)
Lineage: Eukaryota; Metazoa; Arthropoda; Insecta; Hymenoptera; Formicidae
Description: uncharacterized LOC105433081, transcript variant X1
Source: RNAcentral